Molecule: long non-coding RNA, 1788 nt
Filed under: Daphnia pulicaria
Lineage: Eukaryota; Metazoa; Arthropoda; Branchiopoda; Diplostraca; Daphniidae
Description: uncharacterized LOC124338582
Source: RNAcentral
AAUUAUGGCAACACUGUUUUAAUAAUAUUGCCAGUAAGCCAGUCUGCUAUACGGUAGAGAACAUAAAUGUUAUGUAAACCAACUAAUCUUAAUUAAGUAAAAGUUAAUCAAAAGUUAAGUGAUAGUAAAAUUAGUUAUCACUUAAUUAAGUUAGAGUUAAGCAAUUCAUUAAGUAAAUUUAGUCAGCUAAAAUAGACUUUAACCAAAAUCAGUAAUUUUAUUGUUCAAAUCGAGCUGAGGGAUGAACAAGAAAGAUGGAGAACAAGAAACGAUUCAAAUGCAAAUACCAGGGGAGGGGAAAGGUACUAUCGGACUUUAUACACCAUUUCGCCAUCCUUUCUGCCAGAGUUAAUUUUACCCGACUCAUGUUAUACUUGUCCGAAAGGCUGAAAAAAGCAAUAGCAGCACACGCGGCAUCAUAAAUUGCAAAACGGCCGUUGUUUUAAAUCUUUUAAGGUGGAAAAUUAUUCCGUAUUUACUGAACUCCUCUUUUUAGCAUACCCUCCGUCAUUACAUUCUCGUUCAAGUUUCUAAUAUAAAUGCAAUUCACCUUUACUGCCAGUACCUUCUUUUCCUUGAAAGCCCUGCAAUAUAAAUCAUAAUUCGAUCUUUCAUUGUUUUUUUUCCCACGUUAUUACAUGGAAAGUUCUUACCGAGUGAAUAUCAAUUCAACCUCAAAAUAUUCAUUUUAUUCUUAAGUUUUUUACCAACACUUCGUUUUCUUUUUCAGCUAGAGGUAAAACAAUAAGUCAACUAUAACAGUUUUUGCAAACACAAAGUUUAACGUUAAGUUUAGCGUUUGUUGAUUAGAUUGUUGAAGUAUAAAAUAUGAGAAGCUAGGAAUCACGCAUUUUUUAAAGACCAUUCGCGCUUAUUCUUUCAGCAGAUUCGUUUUGGUCUAUAUGUACAAGUUAAAUUGAUAAAACAGUAAAUCAUAGUUUAUGAAAAUAAAAAUGGCUUACCAGGGCUUUUUUUGCUUUUUUGACUUCCUGUGCCUGAGUCAACUUUUCCAAUAAAACAGAAAAAUUCUUCCCAAUAAGGAGGUUUCAAUUUCAAUAAAUUUACUGAAAUCCACAUUAACCACAUAAAAAAUGAUCCAUUAGCUUGCUAAUCGUUGAUUUUGAAUCCGCUGUUUCAACCAUCGCAGAAGAUCGUCAACAUUUCGAGAAACACUCUGGCCACGCGACUGUAACGAUGAAAACUACGCAAAAGCUAGGUAGCAAAAUAAACCCGCUAGGAGGGGGAGGGACGUGAAAGUGCGUGAAGUUCAGAGAGUUUCACUGAGUCACGAGUUCUACAAGCAGCCGCAAAUAUCGUUCAUUCCCACUUCGCUAUUUUUCAUCGACUGGUCGGCUCUUUACAAAACUCAGCAACAAUCUUUAAGCCGAACGCUGCCAGCCAACGUAAACUUGCUCACUCUGGAAACCUUAAAUCAAGGGAAAUAUUUGAUGAGGUUGGAGCACAUUUACGAUGUCGGUGAAGACAGCAUUUUAUCACAGCCGGCUACAGUGUCGAUCGAGGGUUUAUUUCCUGGAUUCACCGUUACUUCGGCGGAGGAAACUAUGUUGGGCGGUAAUCAGUUCAAGAAAGACUCGAACAUGUUAGUUUGGAACGUUGCGUCCACUUCCAACAGAAAUGAGGACGGACAGCAGAUUUGGGACGAACGCGCUAUUCCGGCAGUGCAAUUAAAACCAAUGGAAAUCCGCACAUUUAUCAUUACUUUAGUUCGCAUUUAGUCUAUUCAGUGUGGGUGUGAUGUUAUUCAUUAUAACCAAAAGGCAUAUUACG